This 439-nucleotide ribosomal RNA is filed under the name uncultured bacterium. RNAcentral's name for it is "partial 16S ribosomal RNA". It matches the Rfam family "Bacterial small subunit ribosomal RNA", at positions 339 to 795 of the family's 1533-position model. The record is from RNAcentral.
CUACGGGCCGCUCCAGUGAGGAAUAUAGCACAAUGGAGGAAACUCUGAUGCAGCAACGCCGCGUGGAGAAUGACGCAUUUCGGUGUGUAAACUCCUUUUAUAUGUCAAGAAAAUGACGGUAGCAUAUGAAUAAGCACCGGCUAACUCCGUGCCAGCAGCCGCGGUAAUACGGAGGGUGCAAGCGUUACUCGGAAUCACUGGGCGUAAAGGACGCGUAGGCGGGAUAUCAAGUCAGGUGUGAAAUCCUACAGCUUAACUGUAGAACUGCACUUGAAACUGGUAACCUAGAGUAUGGGAGGGGGAGAUGGAAUUAGUGGUGUAGGGGUAAAAUCCGUAGAUAUCACUAGGAAUACCUAAAGCGAAGGCGAUCUCCUGGAACAUUACUGACGCUAAGGCGUGAAAGCGUGGGGAGCAAACAGGAUUAGAUACCCCGGUAGUC